Molecule: ribosomal RNA, 468 nt
Filed under: uncultured bacterium
Lineage: Bacteria
Description: partial 16S ribosomal RNA
Rfam family: Bacterial small subunit ribosomal RNA
Source: RNAcentral
GACGAACGCUGGCGGCGUGCUUAACACAUGCAAGUCGAACGGAAAGGCCCUGCUUUUGUGGGGUGCUCGAGUGGCGAACGGGUGAGUAACACGUGAGUAACCUGCCCUUGACUUUGGGAUAACUUCAGGAAACUGGGGCUAAUACCGGAUAGGAGCUCCUGCUGCAUGGUGGGGGUUGGAAAGUUUCGGCGGUUGGGGAUGGACUCGCGGCUUAUCAGCUUGUUGGUGGGGUAGUGGCUUACCAAGGCUUUGACGGGUAGCCGGCCUGAGGGGGUGACCGGCCACCUUGGGCCUGAGAUACGGCCCAGACUCCUACGGGAGGCAGCAGUGGGGAAUCUUGCACAAUGGGCGGAAGCCUGAUGCAGCAACGCCGCGUGCGGGAUGACGGCCUUCGGGUUGUAAACCGCUUUCGCCUGUGACGAAGCGGGAGUGACGGUAAUGGGUAAAGAAGCACCGGCUAACUACGUG